This 253-nucleotide ribosomal RNA is filed under the name uncultured bacterium. Its description in RNAcentral is "partial 16S ribosomal RNA". It matches the Rfam family "Bacterial small subunit ribosomal RNA", at positions 524 to 776 of the family's 1533-position model. The record is from RNAcentral.
UACGGAAGGGGCAAGCGUUGUUCGGAAUCAUUGGGCGUAAAGGGCGCGUAGGUGGCUCUGUGUGUCUACCGUGAAAGCGUACGGCUCAACCGUAUUUUGUCGGUAGAAACUGCAGGACUUGAGGCUGGGAGGGGCUGGUGGAAUUCCCUGUGUAGCGGUGAAAUGCGUAGAGAUGGGGGAGAACACUCGUGGCAAAGGCGGCCAGCUAGACCAGUUCUGACACUGAGGCGCGACAGCGUGGGGAGCAAACAGG